GAUGAAGAACGGAGCGAAAUGCGAUACUUGGUGUGAAUUGCAGAAUCCCGUGAACCAUCGAGUCUUUGAACGCAAGUUGCGCCCGAAGCCUCGGCUAAGGGCACGUCUGCCUGGGCGUCACGCAUCGCGUCUCCCCCAAACCGCCAAGGCGGAGGGGAAGGAAGAUGGCUUCCCGUGCCUCACCCGGGCGCGGUUGGCCUAAAUUUGGAGCCCGCGGCACUUAGCUCUCGCGGCGAUAGGUGGUGAACAAGGCCUUGGCCGUGCAAACAACCCGCUGCGAAGCUCUAUGUCACGUGCGCUCGUCGGACCCUUUGAAGUUGCCUUUGGUGACUUAAAACCUUUGCGACCCCAGGUCAGGCGGGGCUACCCGCUGAAUUUAAGCAUAUCAAUAAGCGGAGGA
RNAcentral lists this unclassified non-coding RNA (400 nucleotides) under soil metagenome. RNAcentral's name for it is "partial contains 5.8S ribosomal RNA, internal transcribed spacer 2, and large subunit ribosomal RNA". The stretch from base 1 to 120 matches the Rfam family "5.8S ribosomal RNA", at positions 35 to 154 of the family's 154-position model. The record is from RNAcentral.